RNAcentral lists this small RNA (592 nucleotides) under Pongo abelii (Sumatran orangutan). Its description in RNAcentral is "retained intron". Lineage: Eukaryota; Metazoa; Chordata; Mammalia; Primates; Hominidae. The record is from RNAcentral.
AUUCCACUUCCUGGUUGUUCAAAUAAAUAAGUAAAUAAAUAAUGAGCCCAUGAGCCAGUGGAGGAGGAGAUUCAAGUUCCGGGGAAGGAAUGCAUGCCUUCAGCGAGUGUUUAACUGAGUGCUUAUGACAUGUCAGACUCUUUCUAGGUGCUGGGGACACAGUAGUGAGCAAAAGAAUAGAACAACUGAACUCUCACAGAGCCAAGAGUCUAACGGGUGGGACAGAAAAGAUUCAAGGAAACAAGAUCCUUUCAGGGGUGCCUAUCCAGGGGGUGGGAGAAACAGGAAGCAGGGCAGCAGGGGAGGGAGCAGGGGCUGCUUUAGACAGGGCAGUCAGGGGAGGCUUCCUGGAGGAGGUGGGCCUCUGUGAAGAGGGCAAGUCCUGGGUUUCUGGAGGGAAGGGGGCCCUGCAGAAGCAAGGGCAAGUGGAUGUGGCUGAAGCCGAGUGUUGGGGAAGGCCGGUUGUCUCUCUGUAGAGCCCGCGGAGCUGAGCAGCGGGGAGACGGAAGAGUUACAGAGGAUCAAGUGGCACCGGAAGCAGCUCCUGGAGGACAUCCAGAAGCUGAAGGAUGAGAUCGCAGACGUGUUUGCC